GGCUGUCGUCAGCUCGUGUCGUGAGAUGUUGGGUUAAGUCCGUAACGAGCGCAACCCUUGUCCUUAGUUACCAGCACGUUAUGGUGGGCACUCUAAGGAGACUGCCGGUGACAACCGAGGAAGGUGGGGAUGACGUCAAGUCAUCAUGGCCCUUACGGCCUGGGCUACACACGUGCUACAAUGGUCGGUACAAAGGGUUGCCAAGCCGCGAGGUGGAGCUAAUCCCAUAAAAACCGAUCGUAGUCCGGAUCGCAGUCUGCAACUCGACUGCGUGAAGUCGGAAUCGCUAGUAAUCGUGAAUCAGAAUGUCACGGUGAAUACGUUCCCGGGCCUU
RNAcentral lists this ribosomal RNA (334 nucleotides) under uncultured Pseudomonas sp. RNAcentral describes it as "bacterial SSU rRNA". It matches the Rfam family "Bacterial small subunit ribosomal RNA", at positions 1047 to 1382 of the family's 1533-position model. The record is from RNAcentral. Lineage: Bacteria; Pseudomonadati; Pseudomonadota; Gammaproteobacteria; Pseudomonadales; Pseudomonadaceae.